UACGUAGGGUGCGAGCGUUUGUCCGGAAUUAUUGGGCGUAAAGAGCUCGUAGGCGGCUUGUUGCGUCGGCUGUGAAAACCCGGAGCUCAACUCCGGGCCUGCAGUCGAUACGGGCGGACUCGAGUUCGGCAGGGGAGACUGGAAUUCCUGGUGUAGCGGUGGAAUGCGCAGAUAUCAGGAGGAACACCAAUAGCGAAGGCAGCUCGCUGGGACGUUACUGACACUGAGGCGCGAAAGCGUGGGGAGCGAACAGG
This 254-nucleotide ribosomal RNA is filed under the name uncultured bacterium. RNAcentral describes it as "partial 16S ribosomal RNA". It matches the Rfam family "Bacterial small subunit ribosomal RNA", at positions 524 to 776 of the family's 1533-position model. The record is from RNAcentral.